AUUGAACGCUGGCGGCAGGCCUAACACAUGCAAGUCGAACGGUAACAGGAAGAAGCUUGCUUCUUUGCUGACGAGUGGCGGACGGGUGAGUAAUGUCUGGGAAACUGCCUGAUGGAGGGGGAUAACUACUGGAAACGGUAGCUAAUACCGCAUAACGUCGCAAGACCAAAGAGGGGGACCUUCGGGCCUCUUGCCAUCGGAUGUGCCCAGAUGGGAUUAGCUAGUAGGUGGGGUAACGGCUCACCUAGGCGACGAUCCCUAGCUGGUCUGAGAGGAUGACCAGCCACACUGGAACUGAGACACGGUCCAGACUCCUACGGGAGGCAGCAGUGGGGAAUAUUGCACAAUGGGCGCAAGCCUGAUGCAGCCAUGCCGCGUGUAUGAAGAAGGCCUUCGGGUUGUAAGGUACUUUCAGCGGGGAGGAAGGGAGUAAAGUUAAUACCUUUGCUCAUUGACGUUACCCGCAGAAGAAGCACCGGCUAACUCCGU
RNAcentral lists this ribosomal RNA (489 nucleotides) under uncultured bacterium. RNAcentral's name for it is "partial 16S ribosomal RNA". It matches the Rfam family "Bacterial small subunit ribosomal RNA", at positions 30 to 506 of the family's 1533-position model. The record is from RNAcentral.